AUUGAACGCUGGCGGCAUGCCUUACACAUGCAAGUCGAACGGUAACAGCACUUCGGUGGCUGACGAGUGGCGAACGGGUGAGUAAUACAUCGGAACGUGCCCGAGAGUGGGGGAUAACGCAGCGAAAGCUGUGCUAAUACCGCAUACGAUCUACGGAUGAAAGCAGGGGAUUCGCAAGGACCUUGCGCUCAUGGAGCGGCCGAUGGCAGAUUAGGUAGUUGGUGGGAUAAAAGCUUACCAAGCCGACGAUCUGUAGCUGGUCUGAGAGGACGACCAGCCACACUGGGACUGAGACACGGCCCAGACUCCUACGGGAGGCAGCAGUGGGGAAUUUUGGACAAUGGGCGAAAGCCUGAUCCAGCCAUGCCGCGUGCAGGAUGAAGGCCUCGGUU
Molecule: ribosomal RNA, 392 nt
Filed under: uncultured bacterium
Lineage: Bacteria
Description: bacterial SSU rRNA
Rfam family: Bacterial small subunit ribosomal RNA
Source: RNAcentral